This 497-nucleotide ribosomal RNA is filed under the name uncultured bacterium. RNAcentral's name for it is "partial 16S ribosomal RNA". It matches the Rfam family "Bacterial small subunit ribosomal RNA", at positions 28 to 507 of the family's 1533-position model. The record is from RNAcentral.
GAUGAACGCUGGCGGCGUGCCUAAUACAUGCAAGUCGAGCGAACGGACGAGAAGCUUGCUUCUCUGAUGUUAGCGGCGGACGGGUGAGUAACACGUGGAUAACCUACCUAUAAGACUGGGAUAACUUCGGGAAACCGGAGCUAAUACCGGAUAAUAUUUUGAACCGCAUGGUUCAAAAGUGAAAGACGGUCUUGCUGUCACUUAUAGAUGGAUCCGCGCUGCAUUAGCUAGUUGGUAGGGUAACGGCUUACCAAGGCAACGAUGCAUAGCCGACCUGAGAGGGUGAUCGGCCACACUGGAACUGAGACACGGUUCAGACUCCUACGGGAGGCAGCAGUAGGGAAUCUUCCGCAAUGGGCGAAAGCCUGACGGAGCAACGCCGAGUGAGUGAUGAAGGUCUUCGGAUCGUAAAACUCUGUUAUUAGGGAAGAACAUAUGUGUAAGUAACUGUGCACAUCUUGACGGUACCUAAUCAGAAAGCCACGGCUAACUACGUG